RNAcentral lists this long non-coding RNA (4679 nucleotides) under Setaria viridis. Its description in RNAcentral is "long non-coding RNA (SVIR_LNC001731)". Lineage: Eukaryota; Viridiplantae; Streptophyta; Magnoliopsida; Poales; Poaceae. The record is from RNAcentral.
UAAUGGAGGGAAAAAAGACCCCAAAUACUAAAAAAGUGGCGCCAAUUACAACUGAAGGUUUUUUAUCGGCAUUCGGCAAGGUAACCAUCAGAUUAGCAUCUUCCUCAACGACAAGAACGGCAUCUCAGCCAAAUCUCCCCACAUUUAACCAGACCAAUUACAUGUGGAUGGAAGCACCAGUAGUUGCACAAGUACCAAGCAUCGUUAUGCUGUCUGCUCCCGCUGACGUCGCCACCACAUCCUCGACAAAUUCGCCAAAUUUCUCCAGGGUCAACAUUCAUGCUGGUGACGCAGGAACAAUAGACUUAGACCAGGAUUCUAUUAAAAUCAAUAUACGCGGGAUAUGGAUCUUAGCGGAGGUCUUCAAAAAAUGCUAUGAGUGCUAUAGCACCCGCUAUAUAGCAACGCUAAGCCAUUUAGGGGAUUGAAAAAACAGGAAAAAUCAUAGUCCAUAACAUAACUAAAUAUUAAUACUUUAGUACAGUUCUACACUCUGGUGCUGGCAUGCUGCUGACCUGCCGUGUGCAGGUGCAGCAGAGGAGAUGACGUGCUGGCAUGCUGCAGACCUACCGUGCUGGUGUGCAAGCGUGAGCAGAGGAGAUGGCAUGCAGCAGAGGAGAGUCCCAGGCACAAGCAGCCACGGCAAAGGGAAAAGGCCAAAGGGGAGAUGCACUCUCGGUCUCAUCUCUCAGGCGAUUUAGACGCCGGCGGCGACGACGAUUUUUGGACGGGAAUGACAGUGCUAGGGUUCCCAAGAAGAGCAGCAGCACAUAUAUAUGAUCGAUCUAUUAGGCCGCCGAACAAGUGCUGGAAGCCUGGAAAUCGGCCUGCUUUGGCCGCGCCUGACUAUUCUAUCAUAGCGAUGCUACGCGCUAUAUGCCGCUACGCCAUUUAGCGCCACUAUUUAACGCAAUAGCGACCCUAGCGGUCAUAUUAGCAUUAUGCACUGUAGCUUAGCGCCUAUGCCUCCAAAACGCUAUAGCCCCGCUAUAGUGGUGCUAUAGCCCGCUAUUUCGUACAUUGAGGGCCUGUUUGGCAACCAGCUGCUAAAGUUUAACACCCGUCACAUCGAAGGUUUGGAUGCUAAUUAGAAGUAUUAAAUAUAAGCUAAUUACAAAACUAAUUGCACAAAUGGAGUAUAAUUCGCGAGACGAAUCUAUUAAGCCUAAUUAGUCCAUGAUUUGACAAUGUGGUGCUACAGUAACCAUUUGCUAAUGAUGGAUUAAUUAGGCUUAAUAGAUUCGUCUCGCGAAUUAGCACAGGGUUCUGCAAUUAGUUUUAUAAUUAGCUCAUGUUUAGUUCUCCUAAUUAGUAUCCGAACAUCCGAUGUGACACUGUUAAAGUUUAACACCUCGUAUCCAAACACCCCCUGAGUAAAACUGAAUCUAUCCCAGUAGAAAAUUAUCUCGAAGGCCGCGUACCAAAGGUUGGUAUGAAAUUCCACAGUAAACAAGAGGCAUAUGGCUUUUACCAUGCCUAUGCUCGAGACAAGGGUUUCAGCAUUCGAAGGAGUAGUUCGCAUAACGUGAGAAAUAGUACCACAAUAAAGAAUAGAACUUUGUGCUAUUCUCAUGCAGGUAUGAAUUAAACUAUCUUAUAUUACUUUCUUCAUGGUUAGGGAUACAACAUCAUUUUGAUGAAACUAUUUAUUUAUUUAUAUCAAUAGGAAUUUGAGGGUCUGAUAAGAGAGAAGAAGCUUCGAAUUAUAGCAGGCUAGAGACACGAUGUAUGUCCCUAGCACACAUGAAGAUCAGUUUGAAAGAUAGGUUCUGCUACAUAUAUGAAUUUGUGUCUGAGCAUAACCAUAUUCUUGCUACUGCUAGCCAAGUCCAACAUUUAAGAUCUCAAAGGACAAUAACAGAAGCACAGCUUGCAAGCGUCGAAGCUGCUAAAUCGGUUGGCAUUUCAAAUAAAGCUAAUUUCGAUCUCAUGGCAAAAGAAGCGGGUGGAAUUGAGAAUCUUGAAUUUACACGUGAAGAUAUGAAAAGUAAAUUGUAUUCAAAGAGGUCAUUGAAGGUACACGAAGGAGACACUAGAGGAGUCUUAGAAUAUCUAGAGAAGAAAACAUCAGAAGAAGAGAAAUUUAUCUAUUCCAUUCAGGUUGACGAGGAUGACUUGAUAACGAAUAUUUUCUGGACCGAUUCUAAAAUGGUUGUAGACUAUGAACUUUUUGGUGAUGUUGUAUGCUUUGACACAACAUAUAGAAAACUAAAUGAUGGGCGUCCAUUUGGUUUGCUAUGUGGCGUGAACAACCAUAAGAAAACUAUUAUUUUUGGUGCUGCACUUUUGUAUGAUGAAACUGCUGAAAGUUUUGUUUGGCUUUUCAAAACCUUUUUAGCUGCUAUGUCAUGCAAGAAGCCACAGACCAUUUUGACUGACGAAGAUGCAGCAAUGGCAAAAGCAAUCAAGAUUGUACUACCAGAGAGUCAUCACAGGAUAUGUAUUUGGCAUAUGAACCAGAAUGCAUGCAAGCACCUCUCUGGAGUUGUGGAGGAAUAUAAGAAGUUCAAUGCAAACUUUUAGAGCUGUAUUUAUGAUCAAGAGGAGGAGGAGGAUUUUAUAAAUGCAUGGAACAGUUUGCUAGACAAGUAUAAGCUACGAGAAAAUAAUUGGCUUGAAAGGUUAUUUCAAAAAAGGGAGAAAUGGGCCUUAGCAUAUGGACAGAAUACAUUUUCUGUUGAUAUUGUUAGCACUCAAAGAAGUGAAAGUAUGAAUAACGAGUUGAAAGGAUAUAUUAGUGUCAAAUACAAUAUACUUACCUUCUUUGAGCAUUUUGACAGGUUAGUGGCAGAUAAAAGAUACGAGGAGGUGAAAUGUGAUUUUAAGGCAACACAAAGUACACCAAAGUUGAAAUCAGAUCUGAGAAUACUAAGCCAUGCAGCAAAAAUUUACACUCUAGCACUGUUUAAGGUAUUCCAAGAACAGGUAAUGCAAACACUGAACUGUGAUCUAUUCUAUUGUGGUGAUAUAGAUGAUGAAAAGGUGUACAAAAUAAAGGUUUAUGGUAGGAAAACUGAGCAUGGGUUGAAGUUUUCUACAUCAGGAAGUCAAGUGAAGUGUAACUGCAAAAAGUUCAAUUUUGUUGGAAUCUUAUGCUGUCAUGGGAGUUGAAGAUACUUGAUAUUAACAUAUCAAAAAAAUUCCUGAGCAGUAUAUAUACUAAAUAGAUGGAUGAUUGAUGCGAAAGUACUUCAGAUAAAGAGCAAUUAUCAAACACCUGAAGAUCCAAAAUAAAGCUCUCAUGACGUAGAAAAGAGUUAUGCAGAAUGUAUCUUAAAUUAUCUGCCCGAGCUGCAGAAUCUGAUGAAACAUACUUUAUGGCUGUGAGCAAUGCAGAGAAAUUAGCAGAAGAUGUGGAAAAAGCUAAGCUUGGGAAAGAGACUUGGGGGGCGUUUGGUUCCAGCUGCUUAUUUUAAGCACCUAUCACAUCAAAUGUUUAGAUACUAAUUAGAAGUAUUAAACGUAGACUAUUUACAAAACCCAUUACACAAAUGGAGGCUAAAUGACGAGAUGAAUCUAUUAAGCCUAAUUAGUCCAUGAUUUGACAAUGUGCUGCUACAGUAAACAUUUGCUAAUGAUGGAUUAAUUAGGAUUAAUAGAUUCAUCUCACCGUUUAGCCUCCAUCUGUGCAAUUAGUUUUAUAAUUAACUCAUAUUUAGUCCUCCUAAUUAACCUCCGAAUAUUCAAUGUGACACGGAUUAAAUUUUAGCUCGAGGAACCAAACGCCCCCUUGAUCAGGAUUUGGGUAGUUCAUCUCAUCCACAAGGUUUGCUCUGUGAUAUGACCUGAAUAAUACUUGUGUUAACACCACAUACGCGACACGAUUUAACUGUUAUGUUUUUUUUCCUAAUUGAUUUUUUUCCAGAAACACAACAACAAGACCAGUCCAGAAACCAAUAGGCAUUAAGGUUAAAGAGAAGGAAAUUCGUGGAUCUGAGAGACCAAUUCGUGGAUCUGAUCUUAUGCAAAUUCUACAUAAAACAGCUAACUCAAUUUGGUUUUUUGACAUAGUAAUCCAUUAAAUUUGAAGUAUCAAACUAAAAUUGUAAAGUGCAUAUUCCUCACGAAGAAGAAGGGGACCAGCACAAGACAACUAACCAGAUUAAACUUGUUGGGGGAAGAAAAUGCUUUGCAGCCACACUCUGAUGUGAGAGUAGGUCCUUGAUGCCUCUCAGCUCGAUGUCCCAUGAUGGUGACUUCGAUUCGACGCAGCCGAUGAAGAAACUCCAAAAUCGAAGUCCUCAUUGCCUAAAUCAAGAUCCUACAGCAGGAAUUGAGGUCUGAGCCACCCAAAUCGAAAUACUCAUCACCCAAAUCGAGACCCUACAACAUGAAUCGAGGUUUUAGCCACCCAAACCGAGGAUCAAAUAGCUAGAAUUGAGGAUACCCACAAGAAUCAGCUCGCCGUCACCAAGCUCGAGCUUGCUGCUAUUCAAGAACGGCAGCAGCGACAGCAACCUAUUCUGCACCUUCGACCUUGCCAGCGCCGCCGGCAGCAGUCACAGCCGGUGCCGCGCAACGCGUGGGAAGGACCUUCGGCCGCCCAGGGGGCUGCUCCAUGUCGCGUGCGCUAGAGAGCUGGAACAGAGAAGGGGGAAAGAUAAGACAGAGUAAGGAUGGCAACGGGAUGGGUUCGGAUUGGGUGGAGUGUCCGGGCACCCCAAAACCGAAACCCAAAC